Molecule: ribosomal RNA, 425 nt
Filed under: uncultured bacterium
Lineage: Bacteria
Description: bacterial SSU rRNA
Rfam family: Bacterial small subunit ribosomal RNA
Source: RNAcentral
GGAAUCUUGCGCAAUGGCCGAAAGGCUGAGGCAGCGACGCCGCGUGCGGGAGGACGCUUUUCGGAGUGUAAACCGCUGUCGGGUGGGACGAAGGUCCCGGGGAGGAAAUGUCCUGGGGAUGACGGUACCACCAGAGGAAGCACCGGCUAACUUCGUGCCAGCAGCCGCGGUAAUACGAAGGGUGCGAGCGUUGUUCGGAAUUAGUGGGCGUAAAGCGCACGUAGGCGGCUGGGUAAGUCUGUCUGUGAAAGCCCGGGGCUCAACCCCGUGGAUUGCAGGGGAUACUGCCUGGCUGGAGACAAGCAGAGGUUGGUAGAAUUCCGGGUGUAGCGGUGGAAUGCGUAGAGAUCCGGAGGAAUACCAGAGGCGAAGGCGGCCAACUGGGCUUGUUCUGACGCUGAGGUGCGAAAGCGUGGGGAGCGAAC